AACGAACGCUGGCGGCGCGCCUAACACAUGCAAGUCGAACGAGAAUCCGGGGCAACCCGGUAGUAAAGUGGCAAACGGGUGAGGAAUACAUGGGUAACCUACCCUUGAGAAGGGAAUAACCCGCCGAAAGGUGAGCUAAUACCCUAUACGCUAUCUUUUUUUCGAAAAGGAUAGGAAAGCCGGGUCGAGGACCUGGUACUCAAGGAGGGGCUCAUGUCCUAUCAGCUUGUUGGUGGGGUAACGGCCUACCAAGGCUACGACGGGUAGCUGGUCUGAGAGGAUGAUCAGCCACACUGGCACUGAGAUACGGGCCAGACUCCUACGGGAGGCAGCAGUGAGGAAUAUUGCGCAAUGGGCGAAAGCCUGACGCAGCGACGCCGCGUGGGGGAUGAAGGUUUUCGGAUUGUAAACCCUUUCAUGAGGAAAGAUAAAGUGGUAACCACUUAGACGGUACCUCAAGAAGAAGCCACGGCUAACUUCGUG
Molecule: ribosomal RNA, 483 nt
Filed under: uncultured bacterium
Lineage: Bacteria
Description: bacterial SSU rRNA
Rfam family: Bacterial small subunit ribosomal RNA
Source: RNAcentral